AGAGUUUGAUCCUGGCUCAGAACGAACGCUGGCGGCAGGCUUAACACAUGCAAGUCGAACGGGCGUCGCAAGACGUCAGUGGCAGACGGGUGAGUAACGCGUGGGAACAUACCCUCCGGUUCGGAAUAACUCAGGGAAACUUGAGCUAAUACCGGAUACGGCUGAGAGGCGAAAGAUUGAUCGCCGGAGGAUUGGCCCGCGUCCGAUUAGCUUGUUGGCGGGGUAACGGCCCACCAAGGCGACGAUCGGUAGCUGGUCUGAGAGGAUGAUCAGCCACAUUGGGACUGAGACACGGCCCAAACUCCUACGGGAGGCAGCAGUGGGGAGUAUUGGACAAUGGGCGCAAGCCUGAUCCAGCCAUGCCGCGUGAGUGAUGACGGCCUUAGGGUUGUAAAGCUCUUUCGCUCGGGACGAUAAUGACGGUACCGAGAGAAGAAGCCCCGGCUAACUUCGUGCCAGCAGCCGCGGUAAUACGAAGGGGGCUAGCGUUGUUCGGAAUUACUGGGCGUAAAGCGCGUGUAGGCGGGUCUUUAAGUCAGGGGUGAAAUGCCAAGGCUCAACCUUGGAACUGCCUUUGAUACUGGAGAUCUUGAGUCCGGGAGAGGUGAGUGGAACUGCGAGUGUAGAGGUGAAAUUCGUAGAUAUUCGCAAGAACACCAGUGGCGAAGGCGGCUCACUGGCCCGGAACUGACGCUGAGACGCGAAAGCGUGGGGAGCAAACAGGAUUAGAUACCCCCGUAGUCC
Molecule: ribosomal RNA, 744 nt
Filed under: uncultured bacterium
Lineage: Bacteria
Description: bacterial SSU rRNA
Rfam family: Bacterial small subunit ribosomal RNA
Source: RNAcentral